GCAUCGGUGGUUUAGUGGUAAAAUUAGCCGUUGCCAGUCCAUCAACUGGAUCCGUAUCGGCUAGCCCCGGGUUCGAUUCCCGGCCGAUGCA
Epicoccum nigrum is the source of this 91-nucleotide non-coding RNA. NCBI's taxonomy places the organism in Eukaryota, Fungi, Ascomycota, Dothideomycetes, Pleosporales, Didymellaceae. The record is from the annotation of a GenBank genome assembly.